Molecule: long non-coding RNA, 5500 nt
Filed under: Homo sapiens (human)
Lineage: Eukaryota; Metazoa; Chordata; Mammalia; Primates; Hominidae
Description: HSALNT0310997
Source: RNAcentral
UUGUUAUGUUCACUUACAAUUUCCAAUGUUCCACUUUCUCCUUGCUGUUAGACAACAGUGACACAUACUCUCUCAAAUACAUGUACAUAUACAUAUAUAGACAUACAAAUGCAUAUAAGCAAAAAGACUAUCAACUUUAUAUGUGACAUUCAGGGUCUAAUUCUGCUUUAUUCUCAGUGUAAUAAAAAGAAAAGCGGCAAAUGCAGAUCACAUACAAAAAUCCUUACACCAGGAAUUCUGGAAAACCAUUUAGAAAACCACCUGCACUGCUUGUGGGCCAGCUGGCUCCCACAGAUGAAAAAAUCCAGGGGCAGAAGGCUGACUAAAAUCCCACCUUAGCUUUCAUUGCAAGGACAUGAGUGUUUGCAAUUUCCUAAUGACGAUGGCACAAAUGUACUGGCAAUCUGUUAACUCAAAAGCUUGUUAUGAUUUCAUCCUGAACUGAGCCUAUGAAGAAAGCUUUCUCCAGAAAUCUUGGGAAUAACUUUAGAAGAUUCUAAUUGUGCAGCUAAAUAACUUUGGAUGACUUAUUCCUCGUAACUUUUUUUUCAAUAUAUGAAAACAGCCUAAAGACAAAAUACAUUUAAUAAACUAAUCUUAUACAUGGUGCAAGCCGGAAAAAAAGUACGUUCAGUUUGGGGACAUAAUGCAGAAACCAUAAACUACUAUCAAAAGGCAUUCAAGUAAGUGGACUCGAAAAGCAGUAAUAACUUCAUGAAACUCUUUGUCCUUUCCACUAACCUUGGCAUAAAAGAGAGAAAAAAAUACAUAUUGAGUUUUCACCAAUCCUACUGUGGGGUAAGAACAUAUUAGUAUUCUGGCUUGAUCUUGGCAUAUGCAUUAAUGAUAAACUUGCUGCAAAACAAUUUUUCUUCCUUACAAAGAAUCUCAGUUCUGAUUGGGUUAUAUAAAUCUCCCCCUUUGUUUUUAUUUUUCUUGUCCUUUUGCAAGACAUUCUUUCCUCUCUGCAAAUAGCCUCUCCAGUCCCUUUCUUACUUCAGCAGCCGCUUAGCGCCUCCCUGAACCAUUUUGGACCAAGUUUCUCUCCUAGUCUCAUCUUCUCAUUUGAAAUCUCUUCUGAUGCAUUGAGCCUCCCAGAACUCCUGAGAUUUUUCCAUCUGCUUUCCGUAUGCUCUGCAUAGAUCAGCACAUGUCACAUGACUUGUGGAAUUCAUCACAGACACCCACGUGCUCUAUUCUACUGUAAUUGUAACUUUUAAAAAGAUCACCAAUAUAAAGAUAAAAUGAAAACAAAGACUGUUCCCUAGUCUUCCAGACUCUGUACCUCCCAUCACCUAGAGAAAUACACUGGCACAAAAGCACCAUUGUGUAACUGCUCACCUUUUCCAUACUGAUAACAAUACACCCCUCGGUAUCCAUGCAAGUCUAUGAAAUGAUUUCCAUUUGAGAGAUUGCAGAGAUUGUGUGUCAAGGGAAUAGAUAGAUAAAUGAUACUCUGGAGACCAAACAAAGUAGCAGAGUGGGAGUUCCUGAGCUGUUUGUUGUUGAAAAGACUUAGACAUGACUCUUCUAGCCUGCUUGAAAAAUCCCUUAGUGGAUAUCCAUUUAACCUGAAUGCCAUAACAAAGGCCUAGAAGGUGCCCUCAGCAACAGGUAACCUUGUAUAGUAAAACAUUUUUUACUUUCCUAGGCAGAUAUCAGAAAUGUACAGUCACUGGCUUUGUGCCAUAGUGGUAGUUUUAAACCUGAGCCCCCUGGGUUUCAAUUAUGCCCAGUAAUCACAUGUUGCUUUAGGCUCUCAGUGUCACUGAUUUUCGAACCAAAGAAAAACAAAAGCAUUUUAGUAAUUAAUAUUUUCUGGGAGAAAUGUUCUCUCUUCAAUUGGGUUGACAGGGUCAAAUGGAAAUUAGGAAAAGCCUUAGAGGUCUCCUAGGCACUAAAUUUUUCCUUGCUAAAUUUCUGACAACCCAUAAAAUUGGAAUCAUUGUCCUCCUGAAAGUGUCUGCUCUUACUUUCCCAGGGGAAUAUGAAGAGGGCUAUCUGAUCGGUGCAGUGAUCAUUGGUCUAUCAAAAUCUCAUCCUUAAAUCUUAGUCAAUAUAAAAACUUCAAAGUUAAGCUCCAUUUAGAUUCAGGAACAUGGAAACAUUAUUUCUAUGGAAUCAGUGUAAUUCUUCCUGUAUCAUUAUCAAAGGAAAAGAGUUGCACAGCUUUUCCAGUAUUUUAGAGACCUGACCCUAGGGCCUAGGGAAGUGGAUAUUUUAGCUAUAAGAGCCUGCCAAUAACGUGCUCCUCAAAUACUAAAACAAUCAUCACGUGCAGCUUUACUUUGCUGGAGUUAUCUACUGAAAGAAGUUACGCUUCUUGGAAACAAAACAAUGUUUCUGUAACUUAGAAUUAUUCCAGGUGGAGCCUUCCAACCAUGGGUGAAAUGCUUUUGAUUUGGUAAACUCUGAAGCAAGUUGCUGGGCAUCAGUGGGCUUCAUGGGAAAUAUCUUGACCCUGUCGGUGGUUUGAACAGAUUAUGCUACUUCACAUUAUGCACAUGGUUAGAAGACUGAAAGAGUUACGAUUAUAGCUGGAAGAGUUAAGAUUAUGACUCACAGAACCAGUGGUGUUCUAGAGCUACUUUGUAGUGGUUGAGAGUCCACUGUUAAAUAUUCAGGAAUUUCCUCAACUACAACCAUUGGUAGCUUGCAAUUUGCUAUGACAGAAAUAUUUACACCAUGAAAAUUGGCAGACACUACAAACUGGGGCUUUCUUUAACUUCUGAAAGAAAAUUUACUGCCAUACCACUGCAUAUAGGCUUAAGCAAACAGAAUAGACCCCAGAAUUGAGAAAAAUAUUCUAUCUUUCCUAAAAAGCAGAACUACAAAUGAAUCAGUAAUUUGAAAAGAAAGAAAUCAUGAAAAUAAAGCCCUUCUGUUGCUAAUUUACUAUAAAUCUUAAUUCUAGAGAAACUCUUUCCAAGUUUUAUAAUUUCACAUUCAUACCAAAUUACAUGCCUCAAAGUACUCUGCCCUUUUCCUUGGCAUUGGAGGUAGACUUUUGCCCACCCCAGGAAUAGACUGUUGGAUAUCAAGAGUGUGGAAAGUUAAGGCAAAAAAACUAUUAUGAGUAACAGCAGGAAAGAGGAGGGAUUAUUUUUCAAAUACUUAAACAUAGGUCACAGUCUGCAGCAAUGCUCACUAAAAUGUUAAUUCAAUUCAACUUGACAAACAUUUACAAACAAUAAGUGUUUGUUGAAUUGAAUUGAAAUGUUAACAUUUAUCCUCCUGUGAUAUUUCUCUGCAGAAAUUAGAAAGUAUUCUUAGACUGUAAACUAAAUUCCACCCUGAGAUGAAUGUUAACUUUAUAAUAAAUACAAUCAUAAAAUAUCUAUAACCUUAUUUCAAGACACCUCCCAUUGAAUUAUUUCAAAGCUUAGACAAAAUAAUGCAGAGAUUCUACCCCAUUUAAAUAGUGCAAGAAAAUCCACAAAAAGGGAACAGAGCUUCCUGGACUUCUAAUUUAGUGAGCAGCUAUAAAUAAUUUAUGGUAGACCGUAGACUGUCUUGUUUUUUCACCACUGGGUUAUCUCCCCACUUCUAAUAGAAGCACUUCAACCCUAUCUCUAACAAAGGUACCUUCAUCUAGGAUCAGUACACAUUCUAUAAGAAGAAUUGACACACUCCCCAGUGCCGAGAGAGAGCAGGUGAAUCAUCGUUACUACUGAGAGCAUCACAUUGCCCUGGAAACCAUGACUGAUUCAGAGAUGGAUAUUUACUUCACUCUCAAAUAAUUAAACUUUCCUCGGGAUUGUUGAGAGAGGAGUACUUUAUCUUUUUGAUCUUAAACUUGAACCCGAAAGAAUAUAGAUCUGACACUCUUUGCAUCCAUCUUCCUCCAUAGGAAUAAACCCAACCUGAAGGAAAGCAGAACUGAAAGAUGCAGAGAGACUGAGGACUGCUGAUACUGUUGAAGCACCUAGACCAAGCCUUCUGAAAGUCAUCACUACACUAGUCUUAAAAGCCUUAAAUUACCUUUGUUUAUAAUACCUUGAGUUAAUGUUUCCAUCGCUUACUACCGAGAGUCCUCAUAUAGUAUUCACAGGUUUUUCAAACUACUUCAUACCCAUAAUCACCAGAAUUACUGACUUCUAAAAGUCUUCUGAAAAUGCCAAAGCCAUGUGUUUACCUGUCCUUAUAUCCAAGCCCUUUGCUAUGUAACUUUGCAAUUCUUCCUGCUAAAAGGCAGAGGGCACUUCCCACCUCCUCACAUUGGGUUUAGCCAUAUGAUUUUCUUUGACCAAAGGAGUAUUAUAACGCAAUCAGCUACAGAUAUAAUACAAUCAGGAGUUUAAAGUGGGCUUACAUAAUUGGUUUGCCUUCUUGGCCUUCUGUCAUGGCCAUCUCAAGAAUGCGCUGGCUAGUAUGCUGAUCAAGGAAUAUGAAAGACGUGGCGAGUAGACUCAAACACCCCAGCUGCUGUGAUAUGAUAUAAAGUAUAAAGUCAUGCUAGCCAACAUUUAGACCUCUAGGGGGAAAACAAUUGUUGUUUUAACACAUUCAGACAGCUUGUUGCUCAGAAUACCCACACUACUCCCAGUAUAGAAAGAAGAAAUUGCUAUAAAUCUCUAAGAAGGUCCUACAUGAUUUUCCAAGCAGUUAAGUAAAUAAUAACUAAAACUUAAAUAGCAUGUAGGACAUCCCAGGCAUUGAUCUAAGUGUUCUACAUGUAUCAAUUCCUUUAAUCUUUACAGUAACUGUUUGAGAUACGUGUUAUUAUCACUUUCCUGGGACAAAACUGAGGUGCAGAGAGACUAAGAAACUUGCCCCAGUCACACAGGAUUUAGGUCUUGAAUCCAGGUUGUCUGUACCUCUAUGCUAUUAGGCUAGAUUUGUUUUUUGCGUUUUGUUUUGUUUUGUUUUUGUUUUUUUUUUGUUUUUUAAACUGUAAGAAAUGAUAGGGACUGUGUUUUUCCAGAGUCAGGCAUCAUCAUGUUCAGCUAGUUGUUACCAUGUGGGAUUGAGAGCAUUCUAAGCUUUGAGAAAAGCAAAAAAUCCAGGUUUUUUAUAAAUUUAUUUUUUUAAAAGCAUUUCAAAUAUUGAAAUGUUUGAAUGUUUAACACCAUGAAAGUUAACCUUGAACAGUAUAAGCUCAACAAAACACAUUUAAAACUAAAUUUGGCUAUGGCCUGUCCACCACUGAUCUAAGUUUAGCAGUUCAGUCCUAUUCAAGUAGCAAUGUCUGGCACCUAUAUCUUGAGCUUUUCUAAUGUUCUUGAAAGUGUGACAACAAUUUUAUUUCUAAUGUUUACUACAAGGCAAGUAAACAUGGUGCUUCCACACUGCCUUUCCCUUCGAGACUUAAGCUGCCGCCACAACUCACAGAUCAUUUGCUUUUCAGGUCCUUAAUGUCACAUCCAGACUUUUGUGUCACCUCACAUCCAGAGACUUGGGCCUGCUGCUCCUUCCACUUGGGUCAUUCUUCUCCCCUUCUGUUUUAGUCUGUUUUCACGCUGCUGAUAAAGACAUACCCGAGACUGGGAAGAAAAAGGUU